UCGAUCUCAAAUCAGGUAGGACUACCCGCUGAACUUAAGCAUAUCAAUAAGCGGAGGAAAAGAAACUAACAAGGAUUCCCCUAGUAACUGCGAGUGAAGCGGGAAGAGCUCAAAUUUAAAAUCUGGCGUGCCUCUGGUCGUCCGAGUUGUAGUCUGGAGAAGUGUUUUCCGUG
This 173-nucleotide ribosomal RNA is filed under the name uncultured fungus. Its description in RNAcentral is "partial 28S ribosomal RNA". It matches the Rfam family "Eukaryotic large subunit ribosomal RNA", at positions 1 to 169 of the family's 3401-position model. The record is from RNAcentral. Lineage: Eukaryota; Fungi.